UNCUAGAGGCAGGAUGUCCUAAACAUGGGAGC
This 32-nucleotide non-coding RNA is filed under the name Homo sapiens (human). Lineage: Eukaryota; Metazoa; Chordata; Mammalia; Primates; Hominidae. The record is from RNAcentral.